GGGGGCGUAGCUCAGAUGGUAGAGCGCUCGCUUAGCAUGCGGGAGGUACAGGGAUCGAAACCCCGCACCUCCA
This is a non-coding RNA of Trichonephila inaurata madagascariensis, 73 nucleotides long. Lineage: Eukaryota; Metazoa; Arthropoda; Arachnida; Araneae; Nephilidae. The record is from the annotation of a GenBank genome assembly.